This is a long non-coding RNA of Ceratina calcarata, 2476 nucleotides long. RefSeq lists it as uncharacterized. The record is from RefSeq and is a predicted model, not a curated record. Lineage: Eukaryota; Metazoa; Arthropoda; Insecta; Hymenoptera; Apidae. The transcript is spliced from 3 exons.
CUUCAAGCGCUGUUCGCUGUGAAAUAGAGAAACUCCGAUUAUUAGUCAGCCGAAUCUGCCAAGGUUUCGGCAAGUCUGAUACAGAAUUUGACGUCAGAUUCUCAGCAAAGACGAGCUAAUCCCUGAUAUUAGAAAGUGACGACAGUGUUUCCAGGCUCAUGUUAAUCGUUUCCUUGCUUAAAUCCGUUCGAUGUGGUUAGGUGAAUGCCUAACGGUCCGGAUUUUGGAGUGGGAAACGUGGUAUGCAAAUAAAAUUUCUAAUGAAAUUCCAAUUGGAAUUUAAUUUAUGUUUAUUGGAGCGGCCGUUAGCGGCCGAUCUCCAAAAUUUCAAAUACAAGUAUACAAUGGGUAAAGAAAGUAUUGGCACAUCCAAUGUUUUUAAAACAUCUUUACAUAUUGAAGUCGUAUAUUAAUUCAAAAUAUAUUCUUGAUGUCUUUUAAUAUUUUCGCCUCCGAUGCGAAGAAAUUUGUGCAGAGGAGGCGUAACGCCGAAUUACAAACACAGAAUGUACAGCAGACUGUAAAAAACGGCGGGAGGCAUGUCAUGGUUUUGGGGUCGUAUGUCGUACAACGAAGUGGGAAAUUUGGCAUUUGUAGAAGGUAAUAUGAAUGCACUGAUGUGCAACAAAGAUAAACAUUAAAGAAACUUUUCGGUUUCAACACGACAACAACCCAAAACAUACGGCGAGGAAAAUAAAAGAAUGGCUAUUUUAUAAUGUGGCAAAGCAACUUCUUACCCAAUCUCAAUCAUAAAAGUAUGAAAUAAUAAUUUUGUUAUGCCUAAUACUAUAGAAAUGCGAUCUAUCAUUGCAGUCGUAAGUGUGCCAAUACUUUUUUCUCUGUGAAAUUUUCAUCUUUCUUUUAUAACUUAGUUAAACUACAUUAUUUCGAGUUCUACACUAUUUCUGUACAUUAAACGACAUUAAGGAUAUAUUUUGUAUUAAUAUAUGUACGACUUCAAUAUGUAAACAUAUUUUAAAUACAUUGGGUGUGCCAAUACUUUUUUGACCCACUGUGUAUAAUAUUUAGAAAUAAUUUCGAAUUGCCCUUGAGAUCAGGGCAUGUCGUACCAGCUUCUAGCGCCGAUUACUAAAAACAAAACGAACAACUGAAAGGUUUAUUAGCUAUUCUGUUCGUACACGACAGAAUUUAAUAACUGAUUAGUGGACUGUAUUAUUGAAUUAGUAUAUCGCGUUCGGUAUAAGCCCAGGCAAGCACGAAGACAUUUUCGUUCAAAUUCUCUCAGCUUUUCUGCAAGGUUGUGAUUUAUUCCAGCACACAGGAGCGGCAAUACGUAAGAAUUGAACGAAUAAGUAACAUGUAUAAGAUUACUCUAGUUUUUCUUGAAAGGGAGCGGUUACGGAAAAUGCGACCGUUUGCUUGAAAUGCAGACCGGUCUUUAAUUAUUGCAGUGGACAUUGCCCCGCAGAAGAUAAUCGAUAUUGAAUCCGAGGUAUUUAACUAUUUUUUUGUGAGGUACAGCGACCACUGUUUGUAAGCCAGGUAUUGUUGUGCUAAUUUGAAAAUCACUAUAUCCAAUUUUCCACUUGGAAGUUAUAUAAUGCACCGGUUUGCGGAAUAAAAUUGUUUCACACUUCCCUGGGUUCAACCUGAGGUUCCACGCAGAGUAAUAUUUGUUAAUUUUAUUGACAAUAUCUUCAAGAUUUUGUUUUACUACGAGUGCUCUUCGAUCCUCUGUAUAAACUAUAAUGUCAUCGGCAAACCCUGUCGCUUUAGUAGAGCUGCCAAGUUUAUUUAGAUCAGACAGGUUUAAUAACUCACAAGUAUAUAUGUUAAACAAUAUUGAGGAGUCAACGGUUCUUUGUUGGAGCCCUUCUAAAAUACUGAAUGUAAGCGAUGAUUGCUCGUUGUUAGAUAAGAAAUCAGAUAACGAACGACUUAUUGCUAACCAUGUCCCAGUUAUUCAUUGUUGUGCAGCGUAGAAUUCUGCUAGGUAGUAUUAUUAUUCAUCUCUUCCCAAACAAGUCGAUGAGGAUAAAGCUGAUUACGUCCGUCCCUCAUAGUCAAGUUCGAGUCCUGUCUCUGACCGCGUUGAUGCUCGGCCUUGGCAGCCUGUGCAAAUGAGCGAUUUUCACGAACCAGGGAGGAAAUGACAUCUAUCUUCCGAGCUGUCCUCGUUGAUCUGGUAUUAUUAACUACUUUUCUUUGCGAGGUCGCAAACUUAAGAUAGGGGCAACCCCUAUAGCUAGUUGGAUGCCCUUUUUGCCCACAGUUUGCACAUUUCAGGUCCGUCUUAUCAGUAUCAUUGUUAAGGUGGCAUUUUCCCGAUUCAUGUGUAAGAGCACAUUUUACACAUCGAUAAUUCAGGCAGCAGUUCUUACUGGCGUAGCCCACCCGUUGACAUCUGCGGUAUUGGUAGACAUCCUUUUUUCUAAUGCGCUCCCAUUUAAUUUUUUGGUACGCUAUAGCUUUAAUUUUGAACAGCUCUCUCAAGUUGCUCUCAUUAUCGAAUUAG